RNAcentral lists this long non-coding RNA (301 nucleotides) under Mytilus galloprovincialis (Mediterranean mussel). Lineage: Eukaryota; Metazoa; Mollusca; Bivalvia; Mytilida; Mytilidae. The record is from RNAcentral.
GUCUUGUAUGAUUUUUAAUUUUAGUUUCUUGUGUAUAAUUUGGAGUUUGGUAUGGCGUCCAUUAUCACUGUACUUGUAUAGAUAUUUGUUUAGGAGCCAGUUGAAGGACGACUCCGGGUGCGGGAGUUUCUUGCUGCAUUCAAGACCUAUUGGUGAUCUUCUGAUGUUGUCUGUUCUAUGGUCGGGUUGUUGUCACUUUGACACAUUCCCCAUUUCCAUUCUCAAUUUUAUUAUCUAUCAAAACAUUGUGUUGUCAUGUAGUAUAUGUACAUUUUGCCGUCAGGGUAUUGAAGACGAUUUC